GGGGCCGACUGGUAUCGACCGGAUGGUUUCGGUCUGGUGUCGCACGUCGAGGUGCACGUAGGCCUCGUUAAAAAACGUGCAAAAAAAUUAAUUGCCGACGAUACACAAAUCGUUGGUCGAAUCGGGUUCGACUCGGAUCCGGUUCGCCUGGCUGCUUAAAUAGUGUCCUCGUCCCUCGCCUGGCUCUUAUGUGGACGGCGCGUGGCGCAAGAUCAGCAGACUCGUCCAAAGGCGUCGCCCAGGCUCCCGCGGAU
Molecule: transfer-messenger RNA, 254 nt
Filed under: Phycisphaeraceae bacterium
Lineage: Bacteria; Pseudomonadati; Planctomycetota; Phycisphaerae; Phycisphaerales; Phycisphaeraceae
Description: partial transfer-messenger RNA
Rfam family: transfer-messenger RNA
About the family: Bacterial tmRNA, also known as 10Sa RNA or SsrA, is named for its dual tRNA and mRNA-like properties. Its role is to liberate the mRNA from a stalled ribosome.
Source: RNAcentral